CACGUAGGGUGCGAGCGUUGUCCGGAAUUAUUGGGCGUAAAGAGCUCGUAGGCGGUGUGUCGCGUCGGCCGUGAAAACCUGCAGCUUAACUGUGGGCUUGCGGUCGAUACGGGCAUGACUGGAGUUCGGCAGGGGAGACUGGAAUUCCUGGUGUAGCGGUGAAAUGCGCAGAUAUCAGGAGGAACACCGGUGGCGAAGGCGGGUCUCUGGGCCGAUACUGACGCUGAGGAGCGAAAGCGUGGGGAGCGAACAGG
Molecule: ribosomal RNA, 254 nt
Filed under: uncultured bacterium
Lineage: Bacteria
Description: partial 16S ribosomal RNA
Rfam family: Bacterial small subunit ribosomal RNA
Source: RNAcentral